CCUACGGGUGGCAGCAGUGAGGAAUCUUGGUCAAUGGCCGGAAGGCUGAACCAGCCAUGCCGCGUGAAGGUCAGUGCCCUAUGGGCGUUAAACUUCUUUUGUGCGGGAGCAAUAAUGGUCACGUGUGGCCAGACGAGAGUACCGUACGAAUAAGCAUCAGCUAACUCCGUUCCAGCAGCCGCGGUAAUACGGGGGAUGCAAGCGUUAUCCGGAUUUAUUGGGUUUAAAGGGUGCGUAGGCUGUGAGGUAAGUCAGCGGUGAAAUGCCCCCGCUCAACGGGGUGAAGUGCCAUUGAUACUGCCUGGCUGGAAUGCGGAUGCGGUGGGAGGAAUGUGUGGUGUAGCGGUGAAAUGCAUAGAUAUCACACGGAACACCGAUUGCGAAGGCAUCUCACGAAUCCGCGAUUGACGCUGAUGCACGAAAGCGUGGGUAUCAAACAGGAUUAGAUACCCUUGUAGUC
This 460-nucleotide ribosomal RNA is filed under the name uncultured bacterium. RNAcentral's name for it is "partial 16S ribosomal RNA". It matches the Rfam family "Bacterial small subunit ribosomal RNA", at positions 338 to 795 of the family's 1533-position model. The record is from RNAcentral.